RNAcentral lists this long non-coding RNA (1042 nucleotides) under Coturnix japonica (Japanese quail). RNAcentral describes it as "lncRNA (ENSCJPG00005014350.1)". The record is from RNAcentral. Lineage: Eukaryota; Metazoa; Chordata; Aves; Galliformes; Phasianidae.
AGGGUCAUACAUAAGUUACUGUAAUUUUGCAGCUGCUUUCUAAUACCUCAUAAUCAUUAAGAAGUGGAGGAGUAACAAUACUGAUGAAAGCAAGUAUCAGAUCCUAAAAGAUUAAUUAAAAACUCUAUUAUUUAACACUCUCAAUUUAACAGGCCUGGACUGACCUUUCCUCCUCAGUUAAGAACAAAAACCCCAGAGCAAACAAAAUAACAACCCCACACACCUGCUUUUUUUUGUGGUAGCUCACCUGUUUGUCUGAUAGCUCACCUGAAUCAGGUGUUUUUUACUCAAUAAAAGAGCUGCAAGCAGGGUAAUCAGUGGCUCUGUGUCAAUGUGCAGCAGCUGAGGAUCUGGUCUGAAAAGCAAUCAACAUCCUUCUUUUUGCUGUCUUGCAAAGUACCUGCGGCAGCUGCUCUGCAGGUCCCCUGCUGUGCAAAUCGCCCUUCACAGAGGAAGAUCUUCCUGUCAGUGACUGACGAGAGGUGCCAGGAGCAGGCUAGGAGACUUUUAAAACCCUCGACUUGGCAAAUCAGCAGCGCUAUGAAAAACUAUCACUUUGUUACUUUGGGUCUUUUGAGGAGAAGACUUCAUAGACUUGAAAGGCUUUAUGAAGGAAGCUGGAGGCAGUUCUCAUUAGUCUCACUGACAUCUUUUAUCACUUAUCAGAGGAACAAGCAAACGGAGAGCAAUUCCUUUGAUCAUGGCAAAAGUAGAAAGAGUAUUAAAAACCCUAUGAAGAUUCACUAAGUAGAAAGUGGAAAAGACAGUCUGUGGCAUGUUUCAAAGAAGUAACAUGAUUUAAAGUUGCCAGAUUUGCUUGUAUAUAUUAAAGAAUUGUUAAUGAUGCUACAUUUUACAUGCAUCCCAGGGUGGGUUUUUUUGUUGUUGUUGUUUUUGUUUGAAGAAGAGGCGAAGGAGUUCUGAAGUAGAAUGGAUGGAUUAGAGCAAUUGGAAAAUAUCUCUAAAGGGUGAACUGUGUCAGAAAGGAAUCCAGAGAUUCAAUGAAAAUUGUUGAAAAUAAAAAUAAGGUUGUACGGUGCCA